UUUUUUGAGAGACAUACUUGAGGUAACAGUUAACCUGCUCCAGUUUUGCAGACAACAAUUGCUUUACAGUUUAGACGGAAGUCAUAGUUCGUUCACCUUCUGAAUUCAUCAUAUCGUUUAUGCAAUUUUACUUGAUUCACCUUCUGAAUUCAUCAUAUCGUUUAUGCAAUUUUACUUGAUUCACCGACAACAAUGGGAGGGACAUAUUCUCAAGAGCUCCCCUGCUAAAAUCUUCGGUGUUUUCUGAUUUUUGAUUCACUACAUUUCGAUCCCAAAUGUAAUUGAUUAUAUCUUGGAGUUUGACUCCAUUAAACAAAUGGGUGGC
RNAcentral lists this long non-coding RNA (325 nucleotides) under Theobroma cacao (cacao). Its description in RNAcentral is "long non-coding RNA (TCAC_LNC001621)". Lineage: Eukaryota; Viridiplantae; Streptophyta; Magnoliopsida; Malvales; Malvaceae. The record is from RNAcentral.